ACGUCUACAUUAGAUACCCGCGUAGUCCCAGCCGUAAACUAUGCACGUUAGGUGUAUCGGUGACCACGAGUUACCGAGGUGCCGAAGGGAAACCGUGAAACGUGCCGCCUGGGAAGUACGGUCGCAAGGCUGAAACUUAAAGGAAUUGGCGGGGAGCACCACAACAGGUGGAGCCUGCGGUUUAAUUGGGCUCAACGCCGGGAAGCUCACCGGAUAGGACAGCAGAAUGAUUGCCGGGCUGAAGACCCUGCAUGACUAGCUG
This 262-nucleotide ribosomal RNA is filed under the name uncultured archaeon. RNAcentral's name for it is "partial 16S ribosomal RNA". It matches the Rfam family "Archaeal small subunit ribosomal RNA", at positions 719 to 982 of the family's 1478-position model. The record is from RNAcentral.